ACCUUUAGCUGCAUAGUUCAGUUGGUUAGAGUGUGGUGCUAUUAAUGCCAAGAUUGCAGGUUCAAUCCCCAUAAGGACU
Molecule: non-coding RNA, 79 nt
Organism: Podarcis lilfordi (Lilford's wall lizard)
Lineage: Eukaryota; Metazoa; Chordata; Lepidosauria; Squamata; Lacertidae
Source: the annotation of a GenBank genome assembly